This 756-nucleotide long non-coding RNA is filed under the name Pan troglodytes (chimpanzee). RNAcentral describes it as "lincRNA". The record is from RNAcentral. Lineage: Eukaryota; Metazoa; Chordata; Mammalia; Primates; Hominidae.
GCCUGCGCGGUAGUGGGACCCGACCCUGUCUCCAGUGGGCGUCUUGGGCCCCGGCUCUAUUCUGGGCUGCGGGCCUGGGAAGGGCUCGCCGGGUGCCAAAUGAGCUGUCCUAACUCUGCGGGGCUGCAGCUUCCUGCAUGAUGCUGGGGAGCUUGGCGCCUGACCCAGGAUCUAGAAGGCACUCUGGGCAGGCCGCGCUCCGCCCACGAAGGUACCCAACCCUCUGGGAUAGAUGCAGGAAGCGAUGGUUAAGACCCAUUUUCACCCAACUUCUCGCCGCAGGUCUGGCUUACCACACGCUCCUCCCCAUUCCCAGUGAGCCGCUUUUUGCAGCACCAGGCGAACACUUACACCAGUGCUUUGUAAAGGAAUCUUAUUGUCCACCCCGUGUCUUGGCAAAAGAACAGUGAUCACACAGAUUCCUACUUGGGCUCUUUCCUUUAAUCUUCGGAGGCUGAGUUUGCCCAACUCAGGUUUAACCACCAAGGACUCUGAGAGCUGGCAGGUCUGAGUAACCCUGGUAACAAUUCUCUUCACCUUAUCAAAACCUGAGCUAAAACCAAUACAUCAGCUGAUGAUGACAGCAGAGAGUGGCAGGGCUGAGGACCCAAAGUCAUUUCCCAGGCUGGCGGAGAGUGAGUAAAUGAGAUUCUAAAACUAAACAAGGGAGGUCAGAGACUCUUUCCAACCUUACCUGAUGGCUUCUCGCCAAAGCAAGGAAGUGUCUUGGAAGGUGUUGGUUGGUGAUGGUGCGAA